Molecule: unclassified non-coding RNA, 64 nt
Filed under: Schistosoma japonicum
Lineage: Eukaryota; Metazoa; Platyhelminthes; Trematoda; Strigeidida; Schistosomatidae
Description: internal spacer
Source: RNAcentral
GACAUUGUCCGUUUUACGGGCUUUGUUCAGUAUUACUGCAUCAAAGUACAAAGAUUGUAGAUCG